CCCAUGUUACAGUGUUACAUAUA
Molecule: non-coding RNA, 23 nt
Filed under: Arabidopsis thaliana (thale cress)
Lineage: Eukaryota; Viridiplantae; Streptophyta; Magnoliopsida; Brassicales; Brassicaceae
Source: RNAcentral